GGGGGGUGGAAACGAGGGUACAGUAAGACAGGGGGUUGGGGGGGUGGAAACGAGGGUACAGUAAGACAGGGGGUUGUGGUGGGGGGUGGAAACGAGGGUACAGUAAGACAUCAGCAUUUCAUUCAGUCCAUCAUCAUCAUCAUCAUCAUCAUCAUCAGUCCUCAUUAAAAUCAAAUUAAAAAGAUGAUCUUGCAGUUUGGUGCUAAAGCUCCUUUCUGUUAGCAAUGUUUCCCAAACUGGGUCCUGGGGCCCCCCCACAUUACACAGCUGAUUCAGUUGAUCAAAGCUUCAUGACCAGUAGGUUACUUGAAUCAGCUGUGUUGUGCUGGGGGCAGAAACUAAACAUCCACCCAAAGGGGGGCCCAAGACCAAGUAUGGGAAACACUGGUAAAGGGGGGACAGGACAUGGGAAACAUUGGUAAAGGGGGGGACAGGACAUGGGAAACACUGGUAAAGGGGGGGACAGGACAUGGGGACAGGACUUGGGAAACAUUGGUAAAGGCGGGGACAGGACAUGGGAAACAUUGGUAAAGGGGGGGACAGGACUUGGGAAACAUUGGUAAAGGCGGGGACAGGACUUGGGAAACAUUGGUAAAGGGGGGGACAGGACUUGGGAAACAUUGGUAAAGGGGGGGACAGGACUUGGGAAACAUUGGUAAAGGGGGGGACAGGACUUGGGAAACAUUGGUAAAGGCGGGGACAGGACAUGGGAAACAUUGGUAAAGGGGGGACAGG
Molecule: long non-coding RNA, 735 nt
Filed under: Salmo salar (Atlantic salmon)
Lineage: Eukaryota; Metazoa; Chordata; Actinopteri; Salmoniformes; Salmonidae
Description: lncRNA (ENSSSAG00000088832.1)
Source: RNAcentral